GCUCUGGAAGCCCGCUUCGGACACGGCCUAAGCUUACAAUGAGCACGCGCGCGCGCGAGAUGACAUGUUUGGCUCGCGUUGUCGGGAUUGUUUGUAUAUGACUUAAUUCACAGGAGGCUGUGCUUCUACUCAAGGUGGAUCAGCAUUUGGGGAUGGCAGCUGAAACCUUAACUAGAAGAGAUUGACUGGCUGAAAAAUAGUUUCCCUAGUUUCAGCAGUGACAGAGAGACAAGAAGAAGCUAGUCCCUGGACAAAGUUUUCUGAAGUGUGACAGAUCAGAGGUAUCAUAUCACUGGGGACAAUACUUGACAGUUGUAGCAUUGAUGAAGAGACAAGACUAGACCCCUGGGAGACGGUUUUCUGGAUUGUAACACUUCACCAGAUAUUUGUUACCGCCAACACUACUCACUU
RNAcentral lists this long non-coding RNA (411 nucleotides) under Acanthaster planci (crown-of-thorns starfish). RNAcentral's name for it is "uncharacterized LOC110990599, transcript variant X2". The record is from RNAcentral. Lineage: Eukaryota; Metazoa; Echinodermata; Asteroidea; Valvatida; Acanthasteridae.